Molecule: ribosomal RNA, 389 nt
Filed under: uncultured bacterium
Lineage: Bacteria
Description: bacterial SSU rRNA
Rfam family: Bacterial small subunit ribosomal RNA
Source: RNAcentral
GACGAACGCUGGCGGCGUGCUUAACACAUGCAAGUCGAGCGGUAAGGCCCUUUCGGGGGUACACGAGCGGCGAACGGGUGAGUAACACGUGGGUGACCUGCCCUCAGCUCUGGGAUAAGCCUGGGAAACCGGGUCUAAUACUGGAUAUGACUCCAUGACGCAUGCUGUGGGGGUGGAAAGCCUUGUGCGGCUGAGGAUGGGCCCGCGGCCUAUCAGCUUGUUGGUGGGGUGAUGGCCUACCAAGGCGACGACGGGUAGCCGGCCUGAGAGGGCGACCGGCCACACUGGGACUGAGACACGGCCCAGACUCCUACGGGAGGCAGCAGUGGGGAAUCUUGCGCAAUGGGCGAAAGCCUGACGCAGCGACGCCGCGUGAGGGAUGACGGCCU